AGAGUUUGAUCCUGGCUCAGGAUGAACGCUGGCGGCGUGCUUAACACAUGCAAGUCGAACGGGAAACCUUUUAUUGAAGCUUCGGCAGAUUUAGAUUGUUUCUAGUGGCGGACGGGUGAGUAACGCGUGGGUAACCUGCCUUAUACAGGGGGAUAACAGUCAGAAAUGACUGCUAAUACCGCAUAAGCGCACAGAGCUGCAUGGCUCGGUGUGAAAAACUCCGGUGGUAUAAGAUGGACCCGCGUUGGAUUAGCUAGUUGGUGAGGUAACGGCCCACCAAGGCGACGAUCCAUAGCCGGCCUGAGAGGGUGAACGGCCACAUUGGGACUGAGACACGGCCCAGACUCCUACGGGAGGCAGCAGUGGGGAAUAUUGCACAAUGGGGGAAACCCUGAUGCAGCGACGCCGCGUGAAGGAAGAAGUAUCUCGGUAUGUAAACUUCUAUCAGCAGGGAAGAAAAUGACGGUACCUGACUAAGAAGCCCCGGCUAACUACGUGCCAGCAGCCGCGGU
RNAcentral lists this ribosomal RNA (512 nucleotides) under uncultured bacterium. RNAcentral describes it as "bacterial SSU rRNA". It matches the Rfam family "Bacterial small subunit ribosomal RNA", at positions 8 to 521 of the family's 1533-position model. The record is from RNAcentral.